This 83-nucleotide transfer RNA is filed under the name Cryomorphaceae bacterium BACL18 MAG-120507-bin74. Its description in RNAcentral is "tRNA-Leu". It matches the Rfam family "tRNA". Rfam says of the family: Transfer RNA (tRNA) molecules are approximately 80 nucleotides in length. Their secondary structure includes four short double-helical elements and three loops (D, anti-codon, and T loops). RNAcentral also lists the same sequence under 3 other names. The record is from RNAcentral. Lineage: Bacteria; Pseudomonadati; Bacteroidota; Flavobacteriia; Flavobacteriales; Cryomorphaceae.
GCCCUGGUGGUGAAAUUGGUAGACACGCCAUCUUGAGGGGGUGGUGAGCUAUGCUCGUGCUGGUUCGAGUCCAGUCCAGGGCA